GCAAACUUGGUCAUUUAGAGGAAGUAAAAGUCGUAACAAGGUCUCCGUUGGUGAACCAGCGGAGGGAUCAUUACCGAGUUGUCCCAACUCCCCAACCCCCUGUGAACCUCUACCGCAGUUGCCUCGGCGGGCGCCAGCCGCCCGCCGCAGGGACCAACCAAACCCUCUGCGUUCGCGCCGCCGGCGGAAUUCUCCCUCUGAGUGUACUAGCGAGAAAAUGAAAUCAAAACUUUCAACAACGGAUCUCUUGGCUCUGGCAUCGAUGAAGAACGCAGC
RNAcentral lists this unclassified non-coding RNA (276 nucleotides) under uncultured fungus. Its description in RNAcentral is "partial contains small subunit ribosomal RNA, internal transcribed spacer 1, and 5.8S ribosomal RNA". The stretch from base 1 to 73 matches the Rfam family "Eukaryotic small subunit ribosomal RNA", at positions 1759 to 1831 of the family's 1831-position model. The record is from RNAcentral. Lineage: Eukaryota; Fungi.